This 253-nucleotide ribosomal RNA is filed under the name uncultured bacterium. Its description in RNAcentral is "partial 16S ribosomal RNA". It matches the Rfam family "Bacterial small subunit ribosomal RNA", at positions 524 to 776 of the family's 1533-position model. The record is from RNAcentral.
UACGGAAGGUGCAAGCGUUGUUCGGAGUGACUGGGCGUAAAGAGCACGUAGGCGGGCAAGUAAGUCGAUUGUGAAAUCCCCGGGCUUAACCUGGGAAUUGCAGUCGAAACUGCAUGUCUUGAAUGUCCGAGAGGUUAGUGGAAUUCCUGGUGUAGGAGUGAAAUCCGUAGAUAUCAGGAGGAACACCGGAGGCGAAGGCGGCUAACUGGUGGAACAUUGACGCUGAGGUGCGAAAGCGCGGGGAGCAAACAGG